Molecule: long non-coding RNA, 359 nt
Filed under: Arachis ipaensis
Lineage: Eukaryota; Viridiplantae; Streptophyta; Magnoliopsida; Fabales; Fabaceae
Description: long non-coding RNA (AIPA_LNC002514)
Source: RNAcentral
GAACUCCUCCUUCAUGUACUUCUCUGCCUCACUUGAGUUUGGAAUGAUUUCCUCACUUUCUUGCUCCUCCACUUCCUCUUUUACACUCAACAUUUGUUUUAAUAGCUCUUUCAUAGAGGAGGUUUGUUGAUCUUCCCAACAUUUCUUCAUCUCCUCUUCAUAUCUUUUAAUUUCAGAUUCAAUUGUUGAAACUUUUUGGUCCAGGGGGGUUUGAGGAGGUUGUGAGUGUUCAGGUUCUUUUGUCACCUCAAGUGCAGUUUCGUUUUCAACUAUUUUCACCACCUCUUUCUUUUUCACUAAAAAUUCACUUGACUCAGUAGCCUCUUCCUCUUGUUUUUCCUUCUUCUUCAUUGCACUCA